RNAcentral lists this ribosomal RNA (465 nucleotides) under uncultured bacterium. RNAcentral's name for it is "partial 16S ribosomal RNA". It matches the Rfam family "Bacterial small subunit ribosomal RNA", at positions 339 to 795 of the family's 1533-position model. The record is from RNAcentral.
CUACGGGAGGCUCCAGUGGGGAAUAUUGGACAAUGGGGGAAACCCUGAUCCAGCAAUGCCGCGUGUGUGAAGAAGGCCUGCGGGUUGUAAAGCACUUUCGGUUGGGAGGACUGCUUCUAGCACUAAUAUUGUUGGAAGUUGACGUUACCUUCAGAAGAAGCACCGGCUAACUCCGUGCCAGCAGCCGUGGUAAUACGGAGGGUGCAAGCGUUAAUCGGAAUUACUGGGCGUAAAGCGCGCGUAGGCGGCUAGAUCAGGCGGGUGUGAAAGCCCCGGGCUUAACCUGGGAACUGCAUCCGAUACUGUCUAGCUUGAGUACAGGAGAGGAGAGUGGAAUUCCACAUGUAGCGGUGAAAUGCGUAGAUAUGUGGAGGAACACCAAUGGCGAAGGCAGCUCUCUGGCCUGAUACUGACGCUGAGGUGCGAAAGCGUGGGGAGCAAACAGGAUUAGAUACCCGCGUAGUC